CCUACGGGUGGCAGCAGUGAGGAAUAUUGGUCAAUGGGCGCGAGCCUGAACCAGCCAAGUAGCGUGAAGGAUGACUGCCCUACGGGUUGUAAACUUCUUUUAUAAAGGAAUAAAGUGAGGCACGUGUGCCUUUUUGUCUGUACUUUAUGAAUAAGGAUCGGCUACCUCCGUGCCAGCAGCCGCGGUAAUACGGAGGAUACGAGCGUUAUCCGGUUUUAUUGGGUGUAAAGGGAGCGUAGAUGGGUUGUUAAGUCAGUUGUGAAAGUUUUCGGCUCAACCGUAAAAUGGCAAUUGAUACUGGCAGCCUUGAGUACAGUAGAGGUAGGCGGAAUUCGUGGUGUAGCGGUGAAAUGCUUAGAUAUCACGAAGAACACCGAUGGCGAAGGCAGCUUACUAAACUGCCACUGACAUUGAGGCUCGAAAGUGUGGGGAGCAAACAGGAUUAGAUACCCGGGUAGUC
Molecule: ribosomal RNA, 460 nt
Filed under: uncultured bacterium
Lineage: Bacteria
Description: partial 16S ribosomal RNA
Rfam family: Bacterial small subunit ribosomal RNA
Source: RNAcentral